Long non-coding RNA from Gordionus sp. m RMFG-2023, 756 nucleotides. RefSeq lists it as uncharacterized. The record is from RefSeq and is a predicted model, not a curated record. Lineage: Eukaryota; Metazoa; Nematomorpha; Gordioida; Chordodea; Parachordodidae. The transcript is spliced from 3 exons.
AAAUACAUUUCAAACUAGAUGUUUUCAUUCUUUCAUUAAAUUUUAAAUUAUGAAUUUUAAAGGGAAGACUCAACAAGUGUUAUUAAUUGAUCUAGUAUAAUUGAUAAGUGACUCAAUGAAUUAAAAUUAACGGAAAUGGAUAUUACUAUAAUCCUAAUUCAUUCUAAAUUAUUGAUAUGGUAAUUCUAUGGAUUCAAAUAUUCUUAACUUAUUUUAUAUUAUUGAUAUGGUUAUUCUAUGGAUUCAAAAAUUGCAAGAUUACUAAAUUUAUAUUUUCUUUUAUUCACAAUUACAAAAUCGGAAAGGCUUGUCCAAAAUAUAAUUCAAUAAAAUUUCAAAAAUUUAACACACGAUUUAAAAAAGAUCUUGGCCAUUGCCUAAGACAAUAUUCAGUUGAAACUGCUUUAUCACAAAGAAUAUAUCAUGAUUUAAAUAUUUACCAAUUAAAUUAUAUAAACACUACAUAUAUUACAAUUAAACACAAGAAAUAUUUAUACAAAAAUGCAAUUUUUUUUUUCAGUUUUAUUUACAAUGUUUUUUUUAUACCCAAUUUAUCCUCAACUAGGCCAAACCAUAUUCAUUAAUUUAUUUAUUAACAUAUCCUAAAAAAAAUUCCAAUUUAAAUUAUUGAUUAAAAUGUAGUUGGUUAUAUUUAUAUGUCAAAAAUUAGAUUAAAAUGUAGUUAAUUAUAUUUAAUAAAUGUCAAAGACCUGCAGGCCCAGCCAGAAAAUAAUUUAAUAUUAAUAUUUAGUUUAA